This is a long non-coding RNA of Monodelphis domestica (gray short-tailed opossum), 652 nucleotides long. Ensembl lists it as uncharacterized. The record is from Ensembl. Lineage: Eukaryota; Metazoa; Chordata; Mammalia; Didelphimorphia; Didelphidae.
GUCAGUUAUUGCUGGGUAGUGAGUUCACAGAAAUACUAUGCUGUUGCCUGGCAACCUGUGGGCGGUACCUUGGAGAACCGGGAGAGAAGCAUGACAACGCGCAGCCUUGCUCCAGGGUUGACUUUUCUUUCCAAAGGACUCAAUGGGGAGAUGUCACUGCGUUUCCUUUGAACGGAAAAUGGAUCUGGUUUACUGCGGUGCUAAAGCUGGCCUCCAGCUUCCUCCUCCCAGACCACUGGAGAGCAUUGACAGCCGUCCCACUCCCGACCCUUUCCAGAAGUUGGAAGUGUGAUGGCUAUCUGCAGGCCAGAUUCCAAUACUUACUGGCACAGAAGCUUUAACCUGGUUCCAUUUUUCUGACCUGGGCUGAAUUCUUCCACCAACCUCCCAUAGGCAACGUGGUGGCCUCCCAGAUAUGGACGAUCAAUUGGCUUUUGCCCUACUGCAGCUCAGAAUUCCCAGAUUCAAGUUAUCUGUUAUCCUUAGUCUCUCCCAGGAGCAAGUAUUAUACACAUGUGCCACUAUGCCUGGCCCUUUUUAUCUGAUCCUUUGAAGAAUUUCAAUGGUAUUUUUAUUGCUAUUUAGGUCAUAUUGUCAACUUUCCUAUAUUAGUUCUAUUUAGAUUAUGUACAUUAAAUAUUUCUUCAAUUAU